Long non-coding RNA from Triticum dicoccoides, 837 nucleotides. RefSeq lists it as uncharacterized. The record is from RefSeq and is a predicted model, not a curated record. The transcript has 4 exons. NCBI's taxonomy places the organism in Eukaryota, Viridiplantae, Streptophyta, Magnoliopsida, Poales, Poaceae.
CAGCGAACACGUCGGAUGCAGCAUUCACCGCCCCGAAGAGGUCGCCGCCGCCGCUGCCAUCGUCGCAGAAGUCGAGGAUGUGCGCGGCUAUGGGGCUCGAGAUGCCCUCCUGCAAGAAACCAACAAACUCGUCAGCGCCCCUUGUUUCAUGCCUCAACUCCGAUCAACAGGAGAGACCAGGGCAUGACUUGAAUGGAUUUCUGAAUUCCAAACAGUAUGCUGUCGUGAUGUUUGAUUAGUGUCUUCUGUGAAUCUGUACCAAAACAGACUAGACAGCAGACCAAGGCCAUGGAUCGGUUGAUUCAACAGAGAAGGAAGAGACAGCAGAUUAUAAAACGAGCUUGGGGAUUAACUGGCCUGAAACUUAAACAGGGCCGCCCUGAUGAUGGACUCAAGCUCCAGAAUCAAGACAUGCCAUUGUAGAUGUUUUUUUUAAAGGCAGCUAGCUACUUGGAUUGCGCAAAUCAACAAGAACUCCCUCAUAUAGCAUCAGAACUAAGGAGACAACUUCCAGUAGACCUGGCCAAUGGAAAUCUCAAUUCUCUUAGCCUGUAAGCUCAGCUCUCAAUCAGGUAUUCUAUUCGUAACUCAGCGUAUUUUUUCUGAAGUUUUAGGCCUAACUCCCAAACAUCUUUUGUCAAGAGUAAGAAUGUAGCUGUUGAUGGUUGCUUGCUGAAGAAGAGUGGUAUCAAUAUUACCAUAGAAGUAGAUGUUUUUUGAAUUAUUCUUGAUUUUCUAUUGUGUUAAUAUCUCUCUGCUCUGUUUUUAAUUGGGAAUCCUUGCUCCUUGGGUCCCUGUAAAUUGUACAAAAGGUAAUUUAUCUGAAUUUUAUGGUCU